GUCUGCCGAUGCUGCAAUUUCGCUGUCUCUCUGAAUUCCUGCUACGACUGCCUUGGAUGAUAUAACCUAAGAAGCACAAGGGUAUCCAGUGCACCCAUGACAAAGCUUUCGAUAAGAAAGACAGACCUACAGCCAGGUCCAGAAGGCUAGAUUCUGAGCCAUGGCUGUGGGAGGUGGGCUUCAGAGGAGCACCAGAGCAGCCUAUCAGGAUGCUGGGUGUCACCACACCCAGCUAGAGGUCAGAGGUCAGACCUGAGAGAGAGAACCAGAGAGAGAGGAUGGAGACCAGAGGGCGCAGUACCAGGGCAGGGGUUCUGUUCUGGACCCCUGCUCCUCAACACCCCUCUCCCUCCACCUCCAUAGACUCAGACGUGGACUGGUGGGAUGAGGAUGAGGAGGAAGGUGGGGACAGGAAAGAAGAGGAAGAAGAGGACUUCCACAGCCAGAUGGAUGAGAAUGGGAUUAUAGGACUGGAGAACGCCUUGCAGAAUGUGGGUCUGGGAAAAGAGGAGGAGGAGGGAGAGGAGGAGGGAGUGGAGAAUGGAGAGGAUGAUCUGCCCUGGUACUCUGGAGCCUUGGACCCAGAGGGACCCAGGGAGGGGUUCCUGUCCUCCACUAGGGCAGGUGGGAUUGGGCUGGACCAGAGGUUGGAGCAGGUAGACCCAUUGGAGGAGCUGAGUUAUAACCUGAGUGACCUGCAGAACUCUGAGCCUCUGUCCCAGUCUGAGCCACCUGGAGAGGACACACACACCCUGUCAUUCGAUGUCCUGGAGGCCAAGGACAGUGUGGAGAUCUGGAGUGAGGAUGAGGAGCAGCAGCAAAAGUAUGAAGAGGUGCAGAGCUGGUGGUCCACAGGCAGCGGAUGGAGCAUCUCCCAGAGAGAGACAGACAGCUGGACAUGACAGAGGAUGAAAG
Molecule: long non-coding RNA, 915 nt
Filed under: Salmo salar (Atlantic salmon)
Lineage: Eukaryota; Metazoa; Chordata; Actinopteri; Salmoniformes; Salmonidae
Description: lncRNA (ENSSSAG00000094088.1)
Source: RNAcentral